GUUGUUCUUGUCAUGGUCUAAACCAGCUUACCCCACUGCCACAUUUAUCCAUCAGCCUAUGGGAAAAGGGAAAAAGGAUGUGGAAGUGAAGUGAUCUUUAAAAGCCAAGGAAAGGAAGACAGGAAAAAUGAAGAUAAAUCCCAAAAGAUCAAUAUUUACUUUUAGUCUGCAUUUAAGUGUGCAUCGUUGAGAGAAUCCACGGCAACUUUUAUUAAAGAUAGAAGUUGUACUUGCCAACACAUCAACAAUUUAUGUUUAGAAACAAGAUACUCAAUCUCAAGUUAUCUUCCCUCUGUAAGCCGCAUUUAGCUUUUUAAAAAUCAAGAUAUUGAGAUGCAUUAUACAUAUUGCAAAAUCGAUGUUUUUAGGUGUACCGUUUUAUAAAUCCUGACAAAUUUAUACCGUUGUGUUUACAAUACCACAAACAAGAAACAGAACAUUUCUAUCACUCCAAAUGUUUCUUUGUGUCCUUUGUAAUCAGUUUUCUUCCUCCAAGGCCAGAGCCUGAU
Molecule: long non-coding RNA, 509 nt
Filed under: Homo sapiens (human)
Lineage: Eukaryota; Metazoa; Chordata; Mammalia; Primates; Hominidae
Description: non-protein coding LINC02286:17
Source: RNAcentral